Molecule: ribosomal RNA, 253 nt
Filed under: uncultured bacterium
Lineage: Bacteria
Description: partial 16S ribosomal RNA
Rfam family: Bacterial small subunit ribosomal RNA
Source: RNAcentral
UACGAAGGGGGCGAGCGUUGUUCGGAUUUACUGGGCGUAAAGGGCGCGUAGGCGGCCCUCCUAGUCGCGUGUGAAAGCCCCGGGCUCAACCUGGGAACUGCGUUUGAAACUACAAGGCUAGAGUGUAGCAGAGGGGGGUAGAAUUCCACGUGUAGCAGUGAAAUGCGUAGAGAUGUAGAGGAAUACCAAUGGCGAAGGCAGCCCCCUGGGUUAACACUGACGCUCAUGCACGAAAGCGUGGGGAGCAAACAGG